GUUCCUGUAGCGCAAUGGAUAGUGCGUUGAACUUCUAAUGCAAAGAUCGUGGGUUUGAAUCCCAUCUGGAAUG
This is a non-coding RNA of Trichonephila clavipes, 73 nucleotides long. NCBI's taxonomy places the organism in Eukaryota, Metazoa, Arthropoda, Arachnida, Araneae, Nephilidae. The record is from the annotation of a GenBank genome assembly.